Molecule: ribosomal RNA, 60 nt
Filed under: Falciformispora senegalensis
Lineage: Eukaryota; Fungi; Ascomycota; Dothideomycetes; Pleosporales; Trematosphaeriaceae
Description: partial 28S ribosomal RNA
Rfam family: Eukaryotic large subunit ribosomal RNA
Source: RNAcentral
GCUUGACCUCGAAUCAGGUAGGGAUACCCGCUGAACUUAAGCAUAUCAAUAAGCGGAGGA